Molecule: ribosomal RNA, 507 nt
Filed under: uncultured bacterium
Lineage: Bacteria
Description: partial 16S ribosomal RNA
Rfam family: Bacterial small subunit ribosomal RNA
Source: RNAcentral
GAUGAACGCUAGCUACAGGCUUAACACACGCAAGUCGAGGGGCAUCAGUCUGGUUUGCUUGCAAACCAAAGCUGGCGACCGGCGCACGGGUGAGUAACACGUAUCCAACCUGCCUCAUACUCGGGGAUAGCCUUUCGAGAGAAAGAUUAAUAUCCGAUAGCAUAUAUUUCCCGCAUUGGUUUUAUAUUAAAGAAAUUCGGUAUGAGAUGGGGAUGCGUUCCAUUAGUUUGUUGGCGGGGUAACGGCCCACCAAGACUACGAUGGAUAGGGGUUCUGAGAGGAAGGUCCCCCACAUUGGAACUGAGACACGGUCCAAACUCCUACGGGAGGCAGCAGUGAGGAAUAUUGGUCAAUGGACGCGAGUCUGAACCAGCCAAAUAGCGUGAAGGAUGACUGCCCUAUGGGUUGUAAACUUCUUUUAUAUGGGAAUAAAGUGGUCCACGUGUGGAUUUUUGUAUGUACCAUAUGAAUAAGGAUCGGCUAACUCCGUGCCAGCCGCCGCAGUAA